This is a small nuclear RNA of Oryctolagus cuniculus (rabbit), 163 nucleotides long. Its record names the gene U1. It matches the Rfam family "U1 spliceosomal RNA". From Rfam's summary of the family: U1 is a small nuclear RNA (snRNA) component of the spliceosome (involved in pre-mRNA splicing). The record is from Ensembl. Lineage: Eukaryota; Metazoa; Chordata; Mammalia; Lagomorpha; Leporidae.
ACACUAACCUGGCAAGGGAUACAGCAUGAUCACAAAGGUGGUUUUCCUAGGGCGAGGAUCACACAUUGCACUCUGGGUUGCUGACCCCUAUGAUUUCCCCAAAUGCGGGAAACUCAACUGCAUAAUUUGUGAUAGUGGGGCACUGUGUUUGCGCUCUCCCCUG